GUGUGUGCAUGUGUGUGCAGAAGAGGAGCUGAGGAGGGUUAGCCCUGUGCCCAGGACAGCAGGUGCAGAGGCUGAACUCGGGCGGGGGCAGCUCCUCCUAGCUGCUUGAUGGGUGGAUCUCCACUCCAGCUGGGUCUGCUGGCCAACUUUCUGCAAGCUGUGGCUUCUCUGAGGUUCUGGGCUCCACUGCUGCACAGCCAGCUGCACAGUGCCUUGUGGUGGCAGCCCCAGGUCGUUGCUGCAGUUGCUUUCCAUCCUGUGAUCUGGGGAUCCAGACAAGUGGUGUGGGGAGGUUCUGCGCCACUCCGUGUGCCCGGGGCCUCAGCUGGGAGGACUGGAGUGGCUGAGCCGCCCUGGGACAGUGGGCACUGCUGAGCCGCCACUGAGCAAGACAACAGUGAGGUACAAUCUUCUGCGUGACACUGGCCAUCACCAUGGUAACAACCUGAUUGCAGCUGGCUCACUGUUGCCCUGGACCCAGACUGAGAAGCAUCAGAGAAGAGGACAUGGAGGAGAAGGCAGCAUGGAAGGGUCCCUGGGCAAGGGCUUUGUGUAUGAGAAGAAGCAGGCAGAAGACCUGAAUGAACAAGUACCUUCGUGCUGUCUAUGUUUGCGUGUCUAGUCUGCCGAUCUACACACGCGCCUGGAAAGCAGCUCUGGAUGGAUCCCACCCGCCUUACCCUCCCCCUCUUCCCUUUCUCAGCCAGUGGCACUGCUGGCCCACCUCGCUGCUCCACCCAGGGCCCCGGCAUCCACUCCUACCUUGCUGAGCCUGUCACCAUCCCUCUCCCCCAGGUUUCUGCAGCUUCCCGGGCUGCGUUUCUUCCUGUACCUCUGUGUAGCUCCCUUUCAUUUCACCCCAAGACCCUCCCCGAGCUUCUUCAGCCUCUCUUGAGCUUCUCUGGAACAUGGUCUUCAAGCUCCUUCAACGCUCACGACCUUUCUGCCCUUUGGCUCAGAAUGCUCCCUCUGCCCCUUCAUGUGGCUGGCCAUCAUCUUGGAAUCCUCAGCUGACAUGCUACUUCAGAGGGACUUUCUCCAUCAACUGCCCUCUUCCAGGCUGAGUCCCUGGGUUCAUUUCUGACAUAACAGCCCAUUUGUUCUUCAAAACAUUUACUGUAAUAGGCAAUAUGAGAUAUUUUCUUUAUUGUUCAUGAUAAAAAAUUUCUGCCUAGAAUCUUGUACCUACAAGAGCAGGCAUUUUGUCUUGAUUAUUAUUGAUUAUUGGCAUCCAUAGCUGCUGUCUAAAUACUAGUUUAAUAAAUGAGUGACCUCCUGUGAUUGCUGCAAACAUCUGGACCCAGAGUCAACAUAACAUGAAAACAAUCUGCUGGCACAAGACUGGUAUUCAGUGAGUAAUGGGAAAAGAUGGGUGGGCACAGGCAGCAGGGUUACAGCGUGCUCUGUUUUCCUUCCCCUGGGAAGUGGCCCUGCUGCCGGUGUGACUGCAUUCAUCCCUAGCCCGUGCUUCGGAGGAAUGAUCUGGGCUUUGGAGGAAUGAUCUGGGCUUUGGGUUUCUUUAAGCAAAGACUUGAGAACUAAAAACAGAACCCCGAUUCACGACUUUGCUGCUGGCGUUUCCCUCCCAGGGGAGCCUCCCAUGCGGGAGGAAACCUUUCUUGGGGUGCAGCUUGACACGUGAUGUGAAGGGGACUGUGGGGCAUCAGCUCUGCCCAUAGGCAAGUUCUGAUGACCAGGAGACUCAGGCUGGACUGCGCAACUUUCUGGAAAAGUGCAGACUCCUUCUUCGAAUGCCACUGGGCUUUGUAGUUACUCACCUAGUUGACAACUUUUUGGAUAAACAUGGCAACGACGAACACCAACACGCAAGCAAAUGAUUCAUUCCAAAGUUUGAAAACAAAAGCCCAGUGGAUCCCAGGCAAGUCUAUUUACAGUCCACACAAUAAGCACAGAUAAUUGGACUAGGGUACAAGAGUAUCUCCUCUAUUGUAUUUUUUUCGGUUC
Long non-coding RNA from Heterocephalus glaber (naked mole-rat), 1965 nucleotides. RefSeq lists it as uncharacterized. Lineage: Eukaryota; Metazoa; Chordata; Mammalia; Rodentia; Bathyergidae. The record is from RefSeq and is a predicted model, not a curated record.